This is a long non-coding RNA of Drosophila subpulchrella, 826 nucleotides long. RefSeq lists it as uncharacterized. The record is from RefSeq and is a predicted model, not a curated record. Lineage: Eukaryota; Metazoa; Arthropoda; Insecta; Diptera; Drosophilidae. The transcript is spliced from 3 exons.
CCGAAUGAAUUCAAAACACACAAAACGAAUUCGGAUUUGAAUUCACAUUCAAACGCAAAUACCAAACACAAUUACAACACAUGCAGUUCAAGGUCGCCUCAACCUCUGCAGCGCAGAAUCGAAAAAGUUAUAAGGAAUAAAUAGCGAUAAGUUUCCAUUAUAAUCUAUUAUCAACGCAUCUGAGGUAGCUUUGGGGCUAUCAGUAAAAAAUAAACGCCACAUAUCUACUCACUACAAAGUCUGCAAUGCACACUCGGAUGCGGUGCAAUAAUAACUUCUUGGAUAAUAUACCAAACAAAUCGAUUGAGUAACUCGAUAUGCGAUUAGUUCUAUAUCUGUACAUGGGUGCCUAUAUAAAUGCAUAUAAAACUGCGUGUGCGUCAGUUUACUGAGGCGCAAUAGACUGGAACAAAGAAGGCGUCUGGAACGGAAAACUGAAGAAAGAAACAGAAUCGAACUCAAAUGCACUAAAUAAAAACUGAACGGAGCUGUCAAGAGAAAGAACACCGAAAGAGGCCACCUCAUCGGCCCCUGAAUCACAGCGAUUUGUUUGGGAGCAGCCCACAUGCAGUUCUACAGCCGCAAUCAAAAAAUAUGAAGUACUUACAUUAACUAUUUAAUUUUUUGUAUUAAAUAUAUUACUGUUAAAGUUCGAGCUCUAAAAAAGAUCACAGUUGUUAAAAGAAUUGAAAUUAAUGUGUUAUACAACACUGGCUUUUAAAUACUUAUCUAAGGAGGAAGUAAUAUAUAAUUUAAUAUAAUAAUAUAUUUAAUAGGAAAUAUUUUAGGGUUACAAUGAAUAAAGGAAUCCAUUAAACUCUCAAGA